UGUGAAAUCCCCAAAUCUGCUGUUAGGACAACCUGAGAAGCAGAGCCAAAUAGAAAGUGGUUUUCUCAAAUCAUUCAGGUUACAAGCAGAUGCACAUCCCUGUGAGGCCAAAGGUCUUCCUUCCAUUUAGUCAUUUCUCAAGGCUCUGAAGGAGAGUGAGGAUUAAGAGCCAACUUUUUGUUACCUAAAUCAUGCACAGAGAGGAAAAAUAUGAAGAAUGCUAAAAGGUGGAAGGAUGUGCUCGCUACAGCAGUUCCUCUGGCAUAUAGGAUUUAGAGCAGAUAAUUUCAUAACACCGAAAGGUCAUGCAAAUACCAGUCUGGAAGAGAUAUGGAGAGACCUAACUUUGUAGAAGAUGAGUCUGAAGCAGGCAUGUAAUAUAUUGUCCUUUGUUCACCGCUGGGAAACAGGUGUUCCUUGAAGAUCGCCGGGCGAGGAAGGAGGCGGCUUCCCGAGGGUCGGCGGGCGAUGCCGGCGGGCGGCCGCAGCCGGGGCGGGGGACCCGGUGCUGCCGGGGUCACAACUUUGCCGGGGCUGGCGUUGGCUCGAUGGACUCCGCGGGCAGCGGCGCCCCCGCCCGCCCCGCCGCUCCCCCCGCCGCCGCCGCCUGGAAAAAUGCAGUGUGCCAUUUUACACCCGCCUCUGGAGCACACAGGACCAAAGUCUAGCGCUGGUUUUCGGUGACACUGCAAAACUACGGCUCGCCCCGCGCAACCCCACGCCUCAUCCUCCCCUCGGAGAGAGCAGCUGCCUCUUGAGAAUUAAUAA
Vidua macroura (Pin-tailed whydah) is the source of this 768-nucleotide long non-coding RNA. RefSeq lists it as uncharacterized. Lineage: Eukaryota; Metazoa; Chordata; Aves; Passeriformes; Viduidae. The transcript is spliced from 4 exons. The record is from RefSeq and is a predicted model, not a curated record.